CAACCGGGAUUGCCUUAGUAACGGCGAGUGAAGCGGCAAAAGCUCAAAUUUGAAAUCUGGCGUCUUCGACGUCCGAGUUGUAAUUUGAAGAAGGCAACUUUGUAGCUGGUCCUUGUCUAUGUUCCUUGGAACAGGACGUCAUAGAGGGUGAGAAUCCCGUGUGGCGAGGAUCCCAGUUAUUUGUAAAGUGCUUUCGACGAGUCGAGUUGUUUGGGAAUGCAGCUCUAAGUGGGUGGUAAAUUCCAUCUAAAGCUAAAUAUUGGCGAGAGACCGAUAGCGAACAAGUACAGUGAUGGAAAGAUGAAAAGAACUUUGAAAAGAGAGUGAAAAAGUACGUGAAAUUGUUGAAAGGGAAGGGCAUUUGAUCAGACAUGGCGUUUGCUUCGGCUUUCGCUGGGCCAGCAUCAGUUUUAGCGGUUGGAUAAAUCCUCGGGAAUGUGGCUCUGCUUCGGUAGAGUGUUAUAGCCCGUGGGAAUACAGCCAGCUGGGACUGAGGAUUGCGACUUUUGUCAAGGAUGCUGGCGUAAUGGUUAAAUGCC
Molecule: ribosomal RNA, 539 nt
Filed under: Kluyveromyces lactis
Lineage: Eukaryota; Fungi; Ascomycota; Saccharomycetes; Saccharomycetales; Saccharomycetaceae
Description: LSU rRNA
Rfam family: Eukaryotic large subunit ribosomal RNA
Source: RNAcentral